CUUCAGAGACAGGAGAAGAUAGAGAGGUGAUCCUUCAGAGACAGGAGAAGAUAGAGAGGUGAUCCUUCAGACAGGAGAAGAUAGAGAGGUGAUCCUUCAGAGACAGGAGAAGAUAGAGAGGUGAUCCUUCAGAGACAGGAGAAGAUAGAGAGGUGAUCCUUCAGAGACAGGAGAAGAUAGAGAGGUGAUCCUUCAGAGACAGGAGAAGAAAGAGAGAUGAUCCUUCAGAGACAGGAGAAGAAAGAGAGGUGAUCCUUCAGAGACUGGAGAAGAUAGAGAGGUGAUCCUUCAGAGACUGGAGAAGAUAGAGAGGUGAUCCUUCAGAGACAG
Molecule: long non-coding RNA, 330 nt
Organism: Oncorhynchus keta (chum salmon)
Lineage: Eukaryota; Metazoa; Chordata; Actinopteri; Salmoniformes; Salmonidae
Exons: 5
Source: RefSeq, a predicted model, not a curated record